Molecule: ribosomal RNA, 496 nt
Filed under: uncultured bacterium
Lineage: Bacteria
Description: bacterial SSU rRNA
Rfam family: Bacterial small subunit ribosomal RNA
Source: RNAcentral
GCUACGCUGGCGGCGUGUCUUAGCCAUGCAAGUCGAGCGGACUUAUGGGGUAACUUAUAAGUCAGCGGCGGACGGCGGAGUAACACGUAGCUAACCUACCCUCUGGACGGGGAUAACCCACCGAAAGGUGGGCUAAUACCCGAUGUAGUCAUCCUGUAUAGGGGUGAUGAAAGGUGGGCUUCUGUUUACAAGCUCAUGCUGGAGGAGGGGGCUGCGGCCUAUCAGGUAGUUGGUAGGGUAAUAGCCUACCAAGCCGAUGACGGGUAGCCGGCCUGAGAGGGUGACCGGCCCGAGGGGCACUGAGAUACGGGUCCCACUCCUACGGGAGGCAGCAGGCUAGAAAUUUGGGCAAUGGGGGAAACCCUGACCCAGUGACGCCGCGUGCAGGAAGGAGCCCUUCGGGGUGUAAACUGCUGUCGUGUAGGGAGAAGGGUACUAAGGUGAACAAUCUUAGUACUUGACGGUACUACAGGAGGAAGCCCAGGCUAACCUCGUG